CCCUUAGAUGUUCUGGGCAGCACGCGCGCUACAAUGGUCUUCGCAAACGGAUGCAUUCUCGAAGGAGAAUGCCAAUCUUGGAAUCUAUGCCUUGGUCGGGACAGUUGCUUGCAAUUUUUCGACUCGAACCAGGAAUUCCUUGUAAUCGUGAUUCAUCACAUCACGAUGAAUACAUCCCUGCCCUUUGUACACACCGCCCGUCGCUCCUACCGAUCGAAGAGUUAGGUGAAUUGUUUUGAUCGAUAAGAUUUGACUAUGGUCAACUCUCGUUGUGAAAUUCUGUGAAUCUGACUGUUUAGAGGAAGGAAAAGUCGUAACA
RNAcentral lists this ribosomal RNA (319 nucleotides) under uncultured eukaryote. RNAcentral's name for it is "partial 18S ribosomal RNA". It matches the Rfam family "Eukaryotic small subunit ribosomal RNA", at positions 1470 to 1796 of the family's 1831-position model. The record is from RNAcentral.